Molecule: long non-coding RNA, 294 nt
Filed under: Rhinopithecus bieti (black snub-nosed monkey)
Lineage: Eukaryota; Metazoa; Chordata; Mammalia; Primates; Cercopithecidae
Description: lncRNA (ENSRBIG00000045659.1)
Source: RNAcentral
AAAGCGCUUUGUGCGACAGCGCCCGACAGCUUCUCCGCCCGGAGCCGGCUCCGCGCCGUGAAUGGGCCGCGGACAAAGGCGUCCCCUCCCAACUACCUGUAAUUGGAGCGUCCACGUGCGCGGGCGCCGCUGAAAUGCAAGGGACAAAAGGGAGAGGAAUGGCCGCAUCUUCCGGCUGCCCGUUGCUAUAGUUUCCGUGGGGCUGGUGAAGGGGAGGGCGGUUACCAGGCAACGGGAGAGGGACCAAGACAAAGGCAGCCCGGGAGAGGGAGAGGUCUGGGGCAGAUGUUCUGA